This is a long non-coding RNA of Neltuma alba, 871 nucleotides long. RefSeq lists it as uncharacterized. The transcript has 2 exons. NCBI's taxonomy places the organism in Eukaryota, Viridiplantae, Streptophyta, Magnoliopsida, Fabales, Fabaceae. The record is from RefSeq and is a predicted model, not a curated record.
AUAUUGAGGUCCAGAAAGUAAAAUUCGAUGACAACCCUGGAGGAAGCUAAGAAAGAGGAGAGGAGAGGAAGUGAAAAGCCAUCUGUGACCCUGAGUUAGGGUUUUGCGGAGACGCAUAUAUAUAGAAAAUAAUAGGGUUUGGGAGUUGAUCUGAGAGCGGCGAGAUGAGGGGAGAAGUGAUGGGUGUGGGAGUCUUGGUAAGAAAAUAAACGAAAGAUUUGAAUAUUUUCUCUGGAAUUUUCUUUCCAAUGCCUCCCAUGCCCCUCAUUUUCUCCUUCCUCUACCUUCCGCCAUCAUCCGUCCCUGUGUCUUCUGCAUCUGCUUCAGGUGUAUCAUAUCUCAGUCUGGUUCACUGGGAUAAAUUAAAUCACAGGUGUGGGAGGUUUGGAAAGAGAUAGACAAAUAUUUGUGCAUAUAUACCACUCAAUUUUUGUCUCUUUUUUUCCAAUGCCUCCCAUACCCUUGAUGGUCUUCCCCUUUACAUAGCCUUUUAACUUAACCAUGGACCAGAGCUAUUCCAGCUCACCAAUAUCAUCUUGUUCUUGUUCUUGAGGUAUGCAUAUAUUAUAAUCUGUUAUUAUUGGCUCAUCCUGCAGUCUGAUGUGUCUGAUCUGCCUUUUUUAAGCAUACAGACGGGUCUGUUAACGUUUGGAUUGGUUUAUGAGCCGGACUAGAGACAGACAAAUCUUUCGGGAGGAGUAACAAAAUUCCUAAAAUGAUCCUCAAAACAAAAAAUUAUUUACACUGUAUUUCCAUCAACAUAUUAUGAAGAUUAUCUCUUUCCUUUUGGAUUUCUUGAAGCAGAGAAGAUCGAAGCUGAUGGAAUAUGAUGUUUAAUUGUAAUUUUUCACUGAAGACCGGAAAAAAAAAA